AGAGUUUGAUCAUGGCUCAGGACGAACGCUGGCGGCGUGCCUAACACAUGCAAGUCGAGCGAUGAAACCCUUCGGGGUGGAUUAGCGGCGGACGGGUGAGUAACACGUGGGUAACCUGCCUCAAAGAGGGGAAUAGCCUCCCGAAAGGGAGAUUAAUACCGCAUAAUAUGUUUUAAUCGCAUGAUUGAAACAUCAAAGGAGUAAUCCGCUUUGAGAUGGACCCGCGGCGCAUUAGCUAGUUGGUGAGGUAACGGCUCACCAAGGCGACGAUGCGUAGCCGACCUGAGAGGGUGAUCGGCCACAUUGGAACUGAGACACGGUCCAGACUCCUACGGGAGGCAGCAGUGGGGAAUAUUGCGCAAUGGGGGAAACCCUGACGCAGCAACGCCGCGUGAAUGAUGAAGGCCUUCGGGUUGUAAAGUUCUGUCUUCUGGGACGAUAAUGACGGUACCAGAGGAGGAAGCCACGGCUAACUACGUGCCAGCAGCCGCGGUAAUACGUAGGUGGCAAGCGUUGUCCGGAUUUACUGGGCGUAAAGGAUGCGUAGGCGGACAUUUAAGUCAGAUGUGAAAUACCCGAGCUUAACUUGGGUGCUGCAUUUGAAACUGGGUGUCUAGAGUGCAGGAGAGGUAAGUGGAAUUCCUAGUGUAGCGGUGAAAUGCGUAGAGAUUAGGAAGAACACCAGUGGCGAAGGCGACUUACUGGACUGUAACUGACGCUGAGGCAUGAAAGCGUGGGGAGCAAACAGGAUUAGAUACCCCAGUAGUCC
RNAcentral lists this ribosomal RNA (769 nucleotides) under uncultured bacterium. RNAcentral describes it as "bacterial SSU rRNA". It matches the Rfam family "Bacterial small subunit ribosomal RNA", at positions 8 to 796 of the family's 1533-position model. The record is from RNAcentral.